Loxodonta africana (African savanna elephant) is the source of this 106-nucleotide small nuclear RNA. The record is from Ensembl. NCBI's taxonomy places the organism in Eukaryota, Metazoa, Chordata, Mammalia, Proboscidea, Elephantidae.
GUGCUCAUUUCGGCCGCACAUAUACUAAAAUUGAACCAUACAGAGAAGAUUAGCAUGGCCCCUGCUCAAGGAUGACAUGCUAAUUCGUGAAGCGUUCCAUAUUUUU